GCGUUCGUAGCUCAGCGGAUUAGAGCAUCUGACUUCGGAUCAGAGGGUCGUGGGUUCAAAUCCUACCGGACGCG
This is a non-coding RNA of Ylistrum balloti, 74 nucleotides long. NCBI's taxonomy places the organism in Eukaryota, Metazoa, Mollusca, Bivalvia, Pectinida, Pectinidae. The record is from the annotation of a RefSeq genome assembly.